ACGAAGGGGGCUAGCGUUGUUCGGAAUCACUGGGCGUAAAGCGCACGUAGGCGGAUUUGCCAGUCAGGGGUGAAAUCCCGGGGCUCAACCUCGGAACUGCCUUUGAUACAGCAAGUCUAGAGUCCGGAAGAGGUGAGUGGAAUUCCUAGUGUAGAGGUGAAAUUCGUAGAUAUUAGGAGGAACACCAGUGGCGAAGGCGGCUCACUGGUCCGGCACUGACGCUGAGGUGCGAAAGCGUGGGGAGCAAACAGGA
RNAcentral lists this ribosomal RNA (253 nucleotides) under uncultured prokaryote. RNAcentral's name for it is "partial 16S ribosomal RNA". It matches the Rfam family "Bacterial small subunit ribosomal RNA", at positions 525 to 777 of the family's 1533-position model. The record is from RNAcentral.